GUACUUGCUUUGGCUGCACACAUACUAGAAGUGGAGUGAUACAGAAAAGAUGAGUGUGGCCCUGCACAAGGAUGACAUACAAAUUUGGGAAGUGUUCCAUAGUUAA
Heterocephalus glaber (naked mole-rat) is the source of this 106-nucleotide small nuclear RNA. NCBI's taxonomy places the organism in Eukaryota, Metazoa, Chordata, Mammalia, Rodentia, Bathyergidae. The record is from Ensembl.